UGAUCCCAUCCCGAACUCAGUAGUGAAACGAUGCAUCGCCGAUGGUAGUGUGGGGUUUCCCCAUGUGAGAGUAGGUCAUCGUCAAGA
This 87-nucleotide ribosomal RNA is filed under the name Pseudomonas fluorescens. Lineage: Bacteria; Pseudomonadati; Pseudomonadota; Gammaproteobacteria; Pseudomonadales; Pseudomonadaceae. The record is from RNAcentral. RNAcentral also lists the same sequence under 9 other names.